This 397-nucleotide ribosomal RNA is filed under the name uncultured bacterium. RNAcentral describes it as "bacterial SSU rRNA". It matches the Rfam family "Bacterial small subunit ribosomal RNA", at positions 29 to 417 of the family's 1533-position model. The record is from RNAcentral.
AAUGAACGCUGGCGGCGCGCCUAAUACAUGCAAGUCGAGCGAGAAGACGUAGCAAUACGUUUGUAAAGCGGCGAACGGGUGAGGAAUACAUGGGUAACCUACCCUAGAGUGGGGAAUAACUAGCCGAAAGGUUAGCUAAUACCGCGUACGCUCCUUGGACUUCGGUUCAGGGAGGAAAGCGAUGCCGAGGGUAUCGCGCUCUUGGAUGGGCUCAUGUCCUAUCAGCUUGUUGGGAGGUAACGGCUCACCAAGGCUUCGACGGGUAGCUGGUCUGAGAGGACGAUCAGCCACACUGGCACUGCGACACGGGCCAGACUCCUACGGGAGGCAGCAGUAAGGAAUAUUGCGCAAUGGGCGAAAGCCUGACGCAGCGACGCCGCGUGGGGGAUGAAGGGUC